CCUACGGGUGGCAGCAGUGGGGAAUAUUGCACAAUGGGGGAAACCCUGAUGCAGCGACGCCGCGUGAGUGAAGAAGUAAUUCGGUAUGUUAAGCCCUUUCAGUAGGGAAGAAAAUGAAGGUACCUGAGUCAGAAGCCCCGGAUAACUACGGGCCAGCAGCCGCUGUAACACGUAGGGAGCAAGCGUAAUCCGGAUUUACUGGGUGUAAAGGGAGCGUAGACGGCAGUGCAAGUCUGGAGUGAAAGGCGGGGGCGCAACCCCCGGACUGCUCGUGAUACUGUACGGCUGGAGUGCAGGAGAGGGAAGUGGAAUUCGUAGUGUAGCGGUGAAAUGCGUAGAUAUUAGGAGGAACACCAGUGGCGAAGGCGGCUUACUGGACUGUAACUGACGUUGAGGCACGAAAGCGUGGGGAGCGAACAGGAUUAGAUACCCUGGUAGUC
RNAcentral lists this ribosomal RNA (440 nucleotides) under uncultured bacterium. RNAcentral's name for it is "partial 16S ribosomal RNA". It matches the Rfam family "Bacterial small subunit ribosomal RNA", at positions 338 to 795 of the family's 1533-position model. The record is from RNAcentral.